CCACUCGUUCAUUCCCAAUCUUGCCCAUGCUCGAACCGCACACACACCUGUCGCUCGGACCCACACGCCUGCCUAUGUUUGUGCUUAAAGCCCAUUUGAAUCCAUUUUACUCGUUAAUCCUGUGGGUCCCAAAUGCAGCCACUAGUCCACUACUUCUUCCUUCUAUUCUUUUUUUUUUUCUUUUAUACAUUGGGUUCCUACUACGUGUC
RNAcentral lists this long non-coding RNA (209 nucleotides) under Elaeis guineensis (African oil palm). Its description in RNAcentral is "long non-coding RNA (EGUI_LNC002805)". The record is from RNAcentral. Lineage: Eukaryota; Viridiplantae; Streptophyta; Magnoliopsida; Arecales; Arecaceae.